RNAcentral lists this ribosomal RNA (424 nucleotides) under uncultured prokaryote. RNAcentral's name for it is "bacterial SSU rRNA". It matches the Rfam family "Bacterial small subunit ribosomal RNA", at positions 355 to 796 of the family's 1533-position model. The record is from RNAcentral.
UGGGGAAUAUUGGACAAUGGGCGAAAGCCUGAUCCAGCCAUGCCGCGUGGAUGAAGAAGGCCCUAGGGUUGUAAAGUCCUUUCGUUGGUGAAGAUAAUGACGGUAACCAAAGAAGAAGCCCCGGCUAAUUUCGUGCCAGCAGCCGCGGUAAUACGAAAGGGGCUAGCGUUGUUCGGAAUUACUGGGCGUAAAGCGCACGUAGGCGGCCGUGUAAGUUAGAGGUGAAAUCCCGGGGCUCAACCCCGGAACUGCCUUUAAAACUACAUAGCUAGAGGAUGUGAGAGGAUAGUGGAAUUCCGAGUGUAGAGGUGAAAUUCGUAGAUAUUCGGAAGAACACCAGUGGCGAAGGCGACUGUCUGGCACAUUUCUGACGCUGAGGUGCGAAAGCGUGGGGAGCAAACAGGAUUAGAUACCCCCGUAGUCC